UUCCUCUUGGGUGGAUCUCAAAAGGCGGAUAAAGAUCGUGAAAUGGCCAGCCUUCUCAAGGAUUUUGGUGACGUUGGUGAUGCCGUGUGGUGCAGCAGCCUGUGUUGGGGUUGCGACUGGAGGUUGUGCUACGACUACUGCUGGUGCCUGUGCUGGGGCUGCUGUUGGUGACUGGGCAAAGGUAUUGAUAUAACACAGGGAAAGAAGAAGCAUUGAAAAUGAGAAGAUUGAGUACUGUUGCUUCAUCUUUAAGUUUCCACGGUAUAAUGCUAGAGAUAAUUAAAAAAUGCUAACGCAAAUUGAGUUCGAUCUUAGUUGGAAGUGUUUGAUGUCUGAAGAAGAGACAGAGUGAGCUUUUAUAGAAGUGGACAGAGGAUCAAACUAGGUGCAAUGUACGAGUUUAGUUAUACAACUUGGUUGCUAGUACCUAUUUUGCUCUGAAAGGUGGAGGGUCAUCAAUGGAUGGGUUUUUUAACAAUGCUGCAGCAACUACUUGGCUUGGAAAAGAAGGAAAAAAUUUCUAAAAAGCAGAUUUCCAGUGGUGUGACAGUAAAUAAAGAUGUCCAUGAUUGUCGAAAUUAUAUUUUAGAAUCAUCACUGUCAGAACAUUUGAGGAUACUUCUUAACUUAAAAAAAAAAAUCUUCUGUCAUGGCAGAAGAUUUGGACAAGCAAUCUUAACGGAACCAUCUUUCUAUAUCUAAAACAGCUAUGGCUCCUUCAGCAUAAUAGAAUGAAUCUUUACUUCCCUGAAUCCAUGACAGACAUCGAUAGACUAACUUUCCAAAUUUACACAGAAAUCAAAUCUCACCUAGACCAUCACUUAAAACAACACAAUCAAGCAACACCUACCUUAUGUACUUGAUUUGAUGUUCGUGGCAAGCCUUCUUUCAAGGUUUAUGCAAUCUCCAGGGGAGAUGCAUUUUAGGGCAGCAAAUAUGUCCUAAUACAUGUUAGGGGAACACUGAUUUUAGAGUAUGGUUUGAAGCUACUGCAGAUGCAGAAUUGACAGCCUACACAGAUGGUGAUUGGCUCGUUCAUUUGAUGAUAUGUAGAGCACAACAUGUUAUGAGUUCAAUUUCGGUUCAGGUGCAUUUUAUUGGAUGACCAACAAGCAAAAACAAUGGCACAAACCACUGCAGAAGCAGAGUACAUAGCUGCAGCAGCUACAGUGUGAAGCAACGACAAUUGAAAUUGAUAACAACUCAGCCAUUGCAAUUGUGAAAAAUCAUGCAAGUCAUGUCAAAACCAAGCAUAUCUAAGUGAAGUUCCAUUUAGUUCAUGAUGUAUAAAAAGCUAAUGAGGCGACCUUAAUCUACUGUGAAGCAGAAAAUCAACUUGAAGAUAUAUUCGUUAAAACUCUUUCUCAAGCCAGAUUUGAAUUUGUCAGGAACAAGCUUGGAUUAUCAAGAAGUCGUCUCAAGGAGGAAUGUCAUACCAAUUUUGAUACUUUUUCUACAUACUUAGUGCAUGUUCUGUAGCAAUCUACUGAUAUUUUGUAAAAAGUAUUGCUGAAGUAAACCUGCUGAAAAUCAUGUGAGGGCAGGUCCCAGUAGUCAAGGGGUGGUGUUGUGAUCCUUGGAUGGCAUUAGGUGGAGUUUUUCUUGAAAGAAAGUUAUAGUAAUCAAAUACUUCUGCGCAUAUAUAAAUGAUAAUGUCAGAUGUGGUAGUACGAAAAAACAAACCGGUUUACAAAAUCAGCAAAGCACUAUCAGUCUUGCUAUCUAUAAUUUCUCUGCUGCAAACAUUCUUGUUGGUCACAAAACCAGCAGUUAUGAAAUUGGAGAGAACCUGAACCUGAUGUUGGCUUAAACUGGAGAAAGAUUCAUUAAGAUAAAACUUUAAAGGCUCCAUUGUAAGCGCAAUGUGCAGGUUAUUUCACAUACAGAUUGGCAAAACUUCAAGUAAAUUAGCUGUACCAUGCAGAUCCAACUUCGAGCACUCAUUUUGUAACUCAAAAUCCUUGAGAUUGCUGAGAGAACUUCCAAAAAUAAACACCACUCAAUGCAAGCAUCUGCGUAUAAUAACAAACUUUCAUGAAAAGCUGUCAUCAAGAACAAUAUAAGUAUUAUCCUACAUUUGCACAAGCAACCAUCUGCAUAUAAUAAGACAAUAGCUCACUAGUUAUACAAAAUUCACAAUGAAAUAUCUGUUUUCACCGUUGUCCUACAAAAUGAAUGAAUUAAUGUGUAGCACUAGCUUAUCUCUAGCUUCAAAACAUCAAUACUUCAAGAAGAAGGAACGAAAAGAAAAGGAUUAUCUUAAUCCUGCAGGGCAGAGCAGUAAGGUGCUUCGCAUGAGCAAGUAACCCAAAACACUAAUCUCCAAUGCUUAAUAUGCUCUUUUCUGUCCAAUAAUGAAUACUUGUUUCAAUCAAACCUGAUAAAUCCUUGAAAUACUACCUACCUAGUACCUACCUUCAAUUGAAUCAUCUCCAACAGCCCACGAUUUGGACAAGUAACCUCAACCUCAAGUGAUGCAUUCUUUUUAGUGAAGGAACUAAGCUUUAGCUCCUGAAACUUUACAGAACAGAACUUUACAUUCUUCAUUCCUUACAACCUUCAACAGAUAAUCUUUUCAAAUAUACAAACACAGAAAUCAAAUCACCCACAAAUUUGAAGAAAACAUCAUUCAAGAAACACUGACCUCAGGGACCUAAGCCCCAAAGAGGCAAUUGGUUUAUCUAACCAAAAGCUAGGAAAUAAGUAGACGACACCAGGGUUACAGUGAGGAAAAAAAAUGAAAUUUGACAGAUCAAGUAUAUAUAUUGCAACUUGAACAAGAAAUUAAAUGAAACCUCAAAAUUCCAUCUUAACCACAAGCUCAAAUCAUACAAACUGGAUUCAAAGUAAAAUCUGAAUUAUUCAAAUUUCAACAGGAAUCCAAAGUCAACAAAAUCAUGAAACAAAACCGGAACCAAGCCCAACAUAUCUCCUCUCAAGUUUCAAAACCCUUCUACAUGACAAGCAAACAUUGCAGCAGCAACUAUAACGAGUGAUCCAACAACCACAUUAUUAUGCAUAAACGUAACUGCGCUAGAUAUAUCCACAGGAGCAACAGGACUCUCUACAUUAGCAGCAGGAACCGCCUUAGUAGGUUUUUCUCGUGCAGGUGCCUGUACUGGUGCUGGAGCUGGAGCAUUGGAUCCAAAAAUGUCCUUAGGAAGUAGCACCUUCUCGAUCUUAUAAAUGGCUAGCUGGUUGUCCGUGUAAACCGUGCCAGAUAAACUUGUAUUGGUAAGUCCUGUGGUUAUGUUCACCGAGUUUGGAUAACUUGUGACAUUAAGUGGUAACCUACUACCUGUUCCAGCCCAUGUUCCAAGAGGAUUACUUACAGUCUGAAACUGGGAAGUGGAUAGGAACGUUGGAACUACGUGGAACUUCACCAACUCAGACUUGUCGCCAUCACUUAGAGUAUUGAGAGUUCCUGAUUUGAGUUCCGAAAAUGCACUAUCUGUGGGUGCAAAGAUGGUUAAACCAGUGUUGGAAUCAUUGAGCGCGGAGAACAAGUGGUUUUCCUCUUGGGUGGAUCUCAAAAGGCGGAUAAAGAUCGUGAAGUGGCCAGCCUUCUCAAGUAUUUUGGUGACGUUGGUGAUGCCGUGUGGUGCAGCAGCCUGUGUUGGGGUUGCGACUGGAGGUUGUGCUACGACUACUGCUGGUGCCUGUGCUGGGGCUGCUGUUGGUGACUGGGCAAAGGUAUUGAUAUAACAAAGGGAAAGAAGGAGCAUUGAAAAUGAGAAGAUUGAGUGCUGUUGCUUCAUCCUUAUUUUUUUGGGAUAAAAUGCUCGAAACAAUUCAAAUAUACUAAUGCAAAUUGAUCUCAAUCAUAAAGUGUUUGAUGUGUAAAGAUGAGAUAGAGUGAGGUUUUUAUAGUAGUGGACAGAGGAUCAAGUUAGGUGCAAUAUACAAUUUUAGUUAUACAACUAGAUUGCUAGUACCUUAUCUCACUCCAAAAGCUGUAGGGUCAUCAAUGGAGAGGGAAAUUUAACAAUGCUGCAGCAACUACUUUCCUUGGAAAAGCAGGCAAAAAAAAAAGGUUCUAAAAGGUAGAUUUCAAGUGGCUGUGACAACAAAUAAAGAUGUCCAUGAUUGUGAAUCAUCACUAGCAGAACAGCUGAGCAUGCUUCUUAACAUCAAAACAAAUCAUCUAUAAUGACAGAAGAUUUAGACAAGCGAUCUAAACUGACCUUUGUAUCGUAAAUAGCCAAGUCUUUGCUCUUUUAGCUUAAAAGAACGAAUAUUUACAUCCUUAAUCCUUGACAGACAUUGAUAGAUCACUAAUUUUCUAGAUUCGCACGCUCAGAAAUCAAAUCUCACACCAGACCAUCACUUAACACAACUUCAUGAAGAAACACUUACCUUAUGUACAUGAGCCCGUAGAGGUCAUGCUAUUGAUAAAAGUGAUUUUGCAGUAUGCAAACGCAAGUCUUGAAACUUUAAGAUAGCCAUUUCGAAGUAAAAGGAAUUGUGUUCUUUUACAUGAUGUUGAAUGGCAUAAUAGUCUUUUAUUCAUGGAGAGGAUGAAAGAAAAGGCAAGGAGCAGAAAAUGUCUCAGUUGGUUACUGUCAUCCCCAGUGUUUUAUUUAUAGAAGGAAACAAACAUUACAGAAAAUGAAACACUAAAGAAACGUACUAGCUAUGUUCUCCUUUAUCAAAGGAGUUAUAUAACAAGCUAGUCUAAUCCUAGAUAAGCUUAAACAAAUGAAUUGAAAGAAACAUCCUAAUCUAGAUAAUGCUAUCAGCUAACAGAUAAAUAGCUAUCAGCUAACAAAUAGAUAACAAUGCAGUAGAUUACUACAAAGUAAUCCUGUUCCAGCUUUGGUACCAAACUUCAACACUCCUCCUUGGUUCCAAAGCUACACAUUCCAAUUCUUCCUCUCAGAUCUUCAAACAUGUUUCCUGUUUCUAGUUCAACUGCUGCUUUGAAUUUAACAAACUCAGCAAACACAUAAGAUUUUGAUUUGAGGCAAGGGAUUCUGUACUAGAGCUCAAGCCUUUUAUUCAUGUUAAACGUACUAGGAUGAAUGGAUCAUGCUUCCACCAAAACCAUGAUUUUCCUCCAUAAUGCAGCAAAUCAUAGAAGGGUUUUUCUGGCAGUCGUCUGUCACAUUCAGUUUAUGAAAAUUGUGAUAUAACCUCGACAAUUUUACUGAUUGGAAUCCACUUCCUCAAGCUUAAAGUAACAAUCCUAUGCUCUCUAACACUCUCUUUUCUCUAAUUAUCAACACCAGCAGUUUUGAAACAGGAGAAAAGAACUUAACCUGAUGUGGGAUUGCUUAAACUAGAGAAAAAUUCAUUCUGAGGAAACUUAAAAGGUUCCUGUGUGAGAGCAAUACAGCAGAUUUGUUCACAUUAAGUUUAGUAGAAGUUCAAGAGAUAACCUAGUAAAGGUAGUUCUGUUUCAGAAGCCUGAUUUCUUGAUAAUUAGCAUUUUCUACUCUUUUGCAUUAUGUUCAGCCUCGCAUUCAAAUGUUGUCAGCAGAACCAUAUAUAAUCUUACAGAUUAAAGAGAACAACAUUUUGAUUCCAACCACUUCAAAAACUUGUAAUGAAAUAUUUGCUUUCACCAUUGUCCUGCAACCUCCUUUUCCUUUCUCUCUACCCUCCUUAAUGCAUGCUUUGUCUUCCCUGAUCGUCAAAUAAUCAUCUCAAUCCAAUAACUUAAGUUAUUAGAUGAGAUUCCAAGAUAUGAUUUAUAUCAUUCUCUAACACACACCCCUCAAGUAAAAGUCAAUUAAGCUUGAAACUUGCACAUGCCCACACUAUCUUGUGCUUAAUUUUUAUCAAAUAAAUAGGGAUGGUGAGAUUCAAACUCAUGACUGUUUGGUCAUUAAAGUUCUGAUACCAUGUCAAAGAAUCAUCUCAUCUCAAUAGCUUAAGAUGUUAGGUAAGGUUCUAAGAUAUGAUUUAUAUUAUUCUCUAACACACCUCUUCAAGUGAAAGCCCUUUAGGCUUAAAACUUGUACAGGUCCGCACUACCUUGUACUUAAUUUUUAUCAAAUAAAUAGGGAUGGUGAGAUUUCAAGAUAUAAUUUAUAUAUUAUUCUCUAACAUAUCACUUCAAGUGAAAGGCCUUUGAACUUGAAACUUGCAUAGAUCCAUACUACCUUGUGCUUAAUUUUUAUCAAAUAAAUAGGGAUGGUGGGAUUCGAACUCAUGAUCGUUUGGUCAUCAAGACUCUGAUAUCAUGUCAAAGAACCAACUCAACUUAAUAACUUAAAUUGUUAAGUGAGGUUCUAAAAUUUUGAUUUAUAUUAUUCUCUAAUAAUAUCGUGAUAGUUUGCCCCGUGCUCACCCUUAUUAGCCGACAUCCCCAUAUCUCUGCAUCAGAAAAAUCUUCUUUCUGAGGGAAGUAAUCCGAUAAACCUUCCUCCAGAUCCAGUAAGUUAAUGUUCAAUAAAAAAACAUAGCAACAACUAGCAAGCAAAAACUACAACCUCUUAAUAUGACAUCUCAGCCGAAAAAUCUCCGAAACCUCCAAAAAUCUCACUCCAUUUACUCCUCCGAUAACUAGACUUCCAAGAAAUAGAACCACCAACACAACCACUAUUAUCUAAGAAACAGUUAGGGCAUGAUUCGAUGACACCAGGGUGAUCAUAAAAAAACAACAAAUGAAGUUUGACUAAUCAAGUACAUGUUUAGCAAUUUGAUCAAGAAAUUAAAUAAAACCUCGAAACCAUAACCUAAAAUCAUACAAACUGGAUUCAAAGUAAAAUCAGAAUUAUUCAACACACACCAAGCUUUCAAUCCAACUCAGAAAAUUUAGACGCUGCCGGACCCAACCCAGCUUAUCUCAUCUCGAGAUUCAAACCCUUUUACAUUAUAAAGCAAAGAUUGCAGCAGCAACUGCACCAACUGAUCCAACCACGUUAUUACGCGUGAACAUGACUGCGCCAGAUAUAUCCACUGGAGCAACAGGACUCUCAACAUUAGCUGCAGGAACUGCCUUAGUAGGCUUUUCUGGUGCGGGUGCUACUGGUGCUGGAGCUGGGGCCUUAGAAGCAAAAAUGUCCUUAGGAAGUAGCACCUUCUCAAUCUUAUAAAUGGCUAGCUGGUUGUCCGUGUAUACCGUGCCAGAUAAACUUGUAUUGGUAAGUCCUGUGGUUAUGUUCACCGAGUUUGGAUAACUUGUUACGUUAAGUGGUAACCUACUACCUGUUCCAGCCCAUGUUCCAAGAGGAUUACUUACAGUCUGAAACUGGGAAGUGGAUAGGAAUGUUGGAACUACGUGGAACUUCACCAACUCAGACUUGUCACCAUCACUUAGAGUAUUGAGAGUUCCUGAUUUGAGUUCCGAAAAUGCACUAUCUGUGGGUGCAAAGAUGGUUACACCAGAGCUUGAAUCAUUAAGCGCGGAGAACAAGUGGUUUUCCUCUUGGGUGGAUCUCAAAAGGCGGAUAAAGAUCGUGAAGUGGCCAGCCUUCUCAAGGAUUUUGGUGACGUUGGUGAUGCCGUGUGGAGCAGCUGCCUGUGUUGGAGUUGCGGCUGGGGGUUGUGCUACGACUACUGCUGGUGCCUGCGCUGGGGCUGCUGCUGGUGACUGGGCAAAG
This 7547-nucleotide long non-coding RNA is filed under the name Populus trichocarpa (black cottonwood). RNAcentral describes it as "long non-coding RNA (PTRI_LNC003158)". Lineage: Eukaryota; Viridiplantae; Streptophyta; Magnoliopsida; Malpighiales; Salicaceae. The record is from RNAcentral.